UCAAGUUUGGGAUCACACCAGCCUUUGUUCUUCAAGAGGUAUGUGUUGAUCCUUAUGUUUUCUGAUGUUUUAAGCAAGUUUUAUGGAGGGAGAAGGGAGUUAUGCAUGAGUUUUUGCAUGAGUUGUGCAUGUGAGGGUUUAGGGACCCUUUGUGCCUUUGUUUGUUGUUUGAGUUGUUUUUGGGGUUUUGAGCUUGUUCUAAGCCCCUAUGUGUUAGUAGACGUGUUUAUGCAUGUUGAGUGAGGUUUGGGGGAAGUUGAGUAUGAGGUGAGCGAGGUUCUGCCUAACUGGCGAACCCAGCUUCGGCCGCCGAAAGAGGGUUCGGCCGCCGAACGUGUUGAGGAGGUGGUUUCGGCUGCCUAAACCUGCCCCCGAAGGAUUGGACUUUCGUCUCUGGAGGGAAGGUUCGGCCGCCGAAGGUGCCGCCGAAGGAAGGAGACUUUCGUCUCUGGAGUGUGGUUUGGCUCCCGAACCAUGCCCCCGAAAGGGUUCGGCCGCCGAAAGAGGAGAUUCGGCCGCCGAAAGUAUGUGAGUUUCGGCUCUGUUCAGGACAUUCGGCCGCCGAACCUGCCGCCGAAAGUGUCCUGUCCAGCCUUCUUUUGCAUGCUUUAUGUGAUGGUUUUCAGAGGUUCAGAGGGGUUUAUAGGGGAUUGUUUAAGAGGGAUUCUGAGUAUGUUUGACACCUCAUUCGAGUCCAUUUGCUUCAGGAUUGGACCCGAGAGAUCGAGGAGGUCAUCAGUGUUAGAGAGUUCAGAGUCAGUUCAGUUUCUGCUAGAAGAGCAGAGGUGAGUAGAACGAAACUUAAUCUUGUUUUUUUAACUACAGACACAGACUGUAUGAGCAUAGUUCAUGCAUCAUGGAUGCUAUGAUUUAUAGUAGGGUGAUUUGCAUUAGAAUCACGAAGUUGUUGCAUUGCAUAUUAUGUGAUCAGAGAUUAGGUGGACCCAGGCGACUCCAAUAGCCUAAGCUUCGGCUCCUGUCAUUGUGUCAGGUCAGUGUUGACAGAGGGUAUUUUUGGGGUCAUGUCUACCUUAGUGAGGAUUGGACCAAGGCGACUUCAAUAGCCCGUCGAGGGAGUUUUGGGGUCAUGUCUAAUCCAAGAUAUAUUGAGAUGUUUGUGUUGUGAUGCAUUUUCAUAGCGUAUGAAUGAACUGUUUUCAGUGUUUCUACUCACUGGGCUUUAGUAGCUCAUCCCUUUCCCCUAACCCCAGUGUUGCAGGUACAGAGUAGCUGGGAAGUGAGAAGCAGCAGAGUGUCGAUUGCAGGAUUGCCUAUGUGUAAUAGAAUAGUGGACAUGAUGUAUAUUAAAGAGAUAUUUGUCAAAGAUGUACUAGAUAGUCAGUUGAGUUGUAUAUGAGAUAAGAAUGUGCUUUUGCCUAUAGUAGUGUAUGUUGAUCCCUUGAGUAUAUGCAUGUAUCCUGUUUUUCACGUUUAGUCAAACCAGACUGCAUAGAUGUUGUGUGAUGAUAACCCCAGUGAAGUAUAACUGUGAGGGAAGAUAGGGUUUAAUUCCCUUGACCCAAAGACCAGUGCAGAGGAAAGACCAGGUUUGAUUCCUGUGAUCCAUAGAAAGGCCAAUAGAGAAGACCAGGUUUGAUUCCUGUGACUCUAUGGUAGCCAAGUUAACUUAUGAUAUGCUGAUCCUUACAGAGUGGGUUCUAUGUUUCAGCGCAUAGUGCAUGGAGGUUACUUGGUAGAGCAUCACUGGUGUAUUACAGAUAGCCCUGAGGGCUAGUUCAGAUUAGUAUGUCUGAGCUUUUGGUUCCUAUGAUUGGACCUCCAGAGAGUGUUUUACAGGUUAAGUCUGGUUGUGUUACAGACAAGUUGUAACAGUUAAUAGUCCAGUCGGAUCAUGUAUGGGAUUUUAACAGAUACACAGAGUUCAGGAUAGGCUUACUACGGGUCUAGGCGGCCUUAAGCCGAUCUGGAUCCUAGUGCCGAGCAGUUUGGGCCGUUACAAAGAGGGUACCG
RNAcentral lists this long non-coding RNA (1971 nucleotides) under Manihot esculenta (cassava). Its description in RNAcentral is "long non-coding RNA (MESC_LNC005494)". Lineage: Eukaryota; Viridiplantae; Streptophyta; Magnoliopsida; Malpighiales; Euphorbiaceae. The record is from RNAcentral.